Molecule: long non-coding RNA, 214 nt
Organism: Choloepus didactylus (southern two-toed sloth)
Lineage: Eukaryota; Metazoa; Chordata; Mammalia; Pilosa; Megalonychidae
Exons: 3
Source: RefSeq, a predicted model, not a curated record
CCGGCUUCUCACAACACAUGUUUCCACAUUAUAAAGAGUUGAUGAAAUUGAUCGUACACUGUGGGUGAUUGUAAUGGCUGUGCCAGGCAGACACUCAGGACAUGGAGAGAACAGGAUAGAGCCUGGGCCUUGGCCAGUGAGGACCUCCGGUGCACAUGGAUGGGACUCCCUCUCCUUUUUUUCAAGUGUUAUUCAAAAGCCUGCUACCAAAAAC